CCUACGGGAGGCAGCAGUGAGGAAUAUUGGUCAAUGGGCUUACGCCUGAACCAGCCAAGUCGCGUGAGGGAAGACUGCCCUAUGGGUUGUAAACCUCUUUUGUCAGGGAGCAACGCCGGCUACGUGUAGCCGGACUGAGAGUACCUGAAGAAAAAGCAUCGGCUAACUCCGUGCCAGCAGCCGCGGUAAUACGGAGGAUGCGAGCGUUAUCCGGAUUUAUUGGUUUUAAAGGGUGCGUAGGCGGAAUGCCAAGUCAGCGGUAAAAUCGCGGGGCUCAACCUCGCUCCGCCGUUGAAACUGGCGGUCUUGAGUGGGCGAGAAGUAUGCGGAAUGCGUGGUGUAGCGGUGAAAUGCAUAGAUAUCACGCAGAACUCCGAUUGCGAAGGCAGCAUACCGGCGCUCAACUGACGCUGAAGCACGAAAGCGUGGGUAUCGAACAGGAUUAGAUACCCGUGUAGUC
Molecule: ribosomal RNA, 460 nt
Filed under: uncultured bacterium
Lineage: Bacteria
Description: partial 16S ribosomal RNA
Rfam family: Bacterial small subunit ribosomal RNA
Source: RNAcentral